This 74-nucleotide transfer RNA is filed under the name Camelus bactrianus (Bactrian camel). It matches the Rfam family "tRNA". Rfam says of the family: Transfer RNA (tRNA) molecules are approximately 80 nucleotides in length. Their secondary structure includes four short double-helical elements and three loops (D, anti-codon, and T loops). RNAcentral also lists the same sequence under 2 other names. The record is from Rfam by way of RNAcentral. Lineage: Eukaryota; Metazoa; Chordata; Mammalia; Artiodactyla; Camelidae.
GGGGGUAUAGCUCACUGGUAGAGCAAAUGCUUAUAGCAUGCAUGAAGUCCUAGGUUCAAUCUCCAGUACCUCCA